AGUUAAGUGACUAAGCGUACAAGGUGGAUGCCUUGGCAAUCAGAGGCGAAGAAGGACGUGCUAAUCUGCGAAAAGCUUGGAUGAGUCGAUAAGAGGCGUUUAAUCCAAGAUGUCCGAAUGGGGAAACCCAGUAGAUGAAGAAUCUACUAUCACUGACUGAAUACAUAGGUAAGUGAGGCAAACCGGGAGAACUGAAACAUCUAAGUACCCCGAGGAAAAGAAAUCAACCGAGAUUUCGUUAGUAGCGGCGAGCGAACGCGAAGGAGCCUGUUAGUGAUAAUGACAGAGACAGAGGAACAAGCUGGGAAGCUUAGCGACACAGGGUGAUAGCCCCGUACUCGAAGUCCAGGUCAUGGUACUAAGCUAACGAUAAGUAGGGCGGGACACGUGAUAUCCUGUUUGAAGAUGGGGGGACCAUCCUCCAAGGCUAAAUACUCCUGAUUGACCGAUAGUGAACCAGUACUGUGAAGGAAAGGCGAAAAGAACCCCGGUGAGGGGAGUGAAAUAGAACCUGAAACCUUGUACGUACAAGCAGUGGGAGCCCUUUAAGGGUGACUGCGUACCUUUUGUAUAAUGGGUCAGCGACUUAUAUUUUGUAGCGAGGUUAACCGAAUAGGGGAGCCGAAGGGAAACCGAGUCUUAACUGGGCG
Molecule: ribosomal RNA, 650 nt
Filed under: Haemophilus sp. SZY H51
Lineage: Bacteria; Pseudomonadati; Pseudomonadota; Gammaproteobacteria; Pasteurellales; Pasteurellaceae
Description: partial 23S ribosomal RNA
Rfam family: Bacterial large subunit ribosomal RNA
Source: RNAcentral